This 431-nucleotide small RNA is filed under the name Hyrtios sp. QM G333233. RNAcentral's name for it is "partial large subunit ribosomal RNA". Lineage: Eukaryota; Metazoa; Porifera; Demospongiae; Dictyoceratida; Thorectidae. The record is from RNAcentral.
CAAACAGUACGUGAAACCGUCAGGAGGGAAACGAACGAGGUUAGUGCAGUGAUCACGCAGGUUCAAGCUCUGCCAAAGGUGCCGACAUGGUGRCAGAGAUUGUCCCAUGAYGUCUCCCCAAGGCAGUGCCGUACUCCUCGUGAGCACGGACCAGCGGCGGUUGGACUGGAGCCACAAGGCAGCAGCGGAAGGUGAGUUGAUGUGAGCCUGUUUCACAUUGACAGCUUAUAGCCCUGCCGUACGGCACUCCGGUCUGACUGAGGAAGCUGGGCAGCCCUUGCCCAUUGUGGUGCACGCCGAAUGGCGGGGCCUCCCGACACGAAUGAACCGUGCAGUGUGGACUGCAUGCAGUGCUAACUGUGGCGGUGAUUUUGUGCCGGAGAGUGCCACUUGUGUACCAGUGCUGCUGGUAUUCAGAUGGCCUYGUCCGA